Molecule: ribosomal RNA, 427 nt
Filed under: uncultured bacterium
Lineage: Bacteria
Description: partial 16S ribosomal RNA
Rfam family: Bacterial small subunit ribosomal RNA
Source: RNAcentral
UGGGGAAUAUUGGACAAUGGGCGAAAGCCUGAUCCAGCCAUGCCGCGUGUGUGAAGAAGGUCUUCGGAUUGUAAAGCACUUUAAGUUGGGAGGAAGGGCAUUAACCUAAUACGUUAGUGUUUUGACGUUACCAACAGAAUAAGCACCGGCUAACUCUGUGCCAGCAGCCGCGGUAAUACAGAGGGUGCAAGCGUUAAUCGGAAUUACUGGGCGUAAAGCGCGCGUAGGUGGUUUGUUAACUUGGAUGUGAAAUCCCCGGGCUCAACCUGGGAACUGCAUUCAAAACUGACUGACUAGAGUAUGGUAGAGGGUGGUGGAAUUUCCUGUGUAGCGGUGAAAUGCGUAGAUAUAGGAAGGAACACCAGUGGCGAAGGCGACCACCUGGACUAAUACUGACACUGAGGUGCGAAAGCGUGGGGAGCAAACA